UGGGGAAUUUUGGACAAUGGGCGAAAGCCUGAUCCAGCAAUGCCGCGUGUGUGAAGAAGGCCUUCGGGUUGUAAAGCACUUUUGUCCGGAAAGAAAUCCUUGGCUCUAAUACAGUCGGGGGAUGACGGUACCGGAAGAAUAAGCACCGGCUAACUACGUGCCAGCAGCCGCGGUAAUACGUAGGGUGCAAGCGUUAAUCGGAAUUACUGGGCGUAAAGCGUGCGCAGGCGGUUUGCUAAGACCGAUGUGAAAUCCCCGGGCUCAACCUGGGAACUGCAUUGGUGACUGGCAGGCUAGAGUAUGGCAGAGGGGGGUAGAAUUCCACGUGUAGCAGUGAAAUGCGUAGAGAUGUGGAGGAAUACCGAUGGCGAAGGCAGCCCCCUGGGCCAAAUACUGACGCUCAUGCACGAAAGCGUGGGGGAGCAAAACAGGAUUAGAUAAACCCUGGUAGUCCACGCCCUAAACGAUGUCAACUAGUUGUUGGGGAUUCAUUUCCUUAGUAACGUAGCUAACGCGUGAAGUUGACCGCCUGGGGAGUACGGUCGCAAGAUUAAAACUCAAAUGAAUUGACGGGGUCAUAGCUGUUUCCU
This 590-nucleotide ribosomal RNA is filed under the name uncultured bacterium. Its description in RNAcentral is "partial 16S ribosomal RNA". It matches the Rfam family "Bacterial small subunit ribosomal RNA", at positions 355 to 1375 of the family's 1533-position model. The record is from RNAcentral.